AAAUUCUUGAAGUUAUCUUAGCUUUUUUGUUGGGUGAAAUCAGUAUAAAGAGUUUCUCUUUCUUUUAAAAUUAAUAGGAAUUAAAAAACUUUGAUUUAAAACCAGGAUUAGAUACCCUGCUAUUCUAAGUUAUAUUUAGACAGGGUAGUAAAAGUUGUUCUUCAAACCCAAAGAUUUUGGCGGCACUUUAUCCAAAUAGAGGAGCUUGUCCCUUAAUCGAUAGUCCCCGUUCUAUCUUUCCUCUGUUUGUAGAGCUUGUAUACCGCCGUUGUCAGAUUACUUUUAGAGAAUGUUUUCAAGAUAAAAGACUUUUUUACUUCAGGUCAAGGUGCAGUUUAUAUAGAGGUGGAGGUGAGCUACAAUUUUCUUUAGAAAUACGGAUUUCAAGCCUCGAAGCUGGUUGAAGGUGGAUUU
This 414-nucleotide ribosomal RNA is filed under the name Daphnia dentifera. RNAcentral's name for it is "partial 12S ribosomal RNA". The record is from RNAcentral. Lineage: Eukaryota; Metazoa; Arthropoda; Branchiopoda; Diplostraca; Daphniidae.